ACCCCUGGGUUCUGGCUGCUAAGAGCCGCAAUCACUACUGCAUUAUCAUGUCCAAUGUUUUGCUGAUAAUGUAUAAGACCUUCUGGGAACACAAACACAUCUCCUUCAUUCAGGACUUUGGUGAUGUGACGAUUUUCUGUAUUUGAGGUCACAAAUCCCACCCGCAGUGUACCUUUUAUGAUGGUCAGAAUUUCAGUAGCACGAGGAUGGGUGUGUGGAGCAUUGAUUCCCCAUGGUGCAAAGUCGAUACGAACAAGAGAAAUGCCGAGAGUGUUGAGUCCAGGAAUCCUGCCAACAUUAACUGUUGUUACGUUUGAUCCUACCAGAUUUUUUGAUGUGUCACCGGCCACGUUCAAUCCGCUAGUGAAGAAGUCAUUUUCAGUUACAACCUUGGGGUCCUUACAGACUAGUCCAUUAAUCAACACUGAAACAUGCAACAAGUAAAUUGUCAAGUACAUAUACUGAAGUAACUGAACCAUUAAAAGAAAUUGCGGUCUACGUACAAGAAAAGAAAUUGCAUGCAAGAUAGAUCAAAUACCUGGGCUAUUGGCAUCAGCAACGCAGAAAUCCUGAAGAGGGUUAUUAUCUGUGGCCAAAGCAACGAAGCAAGUCAAGGUACUAAUUAGGAAUCCUAUGAAGAGAAUAUUAGAUGCCAAUGAAGAAGCCAUCUUCCAACUCUAGGUUUAGCUGUUUUGUGAUCUAAGAGAUGAACAAAGUAUAAGAGAACAAAUGAUGAUGAGCUUGGGAUUAAGUUAAGUUGUGAAGAUUGGAUUGUUGGGUAUGGCUUAUAUAGAAAUCUUUUAGGAGGGGAAGUGUGACAAAGAGGACAAAAUUAAGACCCAAAUGUUUAUUUUGGCGUUGAACCAGUCUUUAUAAUACUACGUAUAUAUUAGAAUUUAAACUAAUCUUGAACUAGUCCUAUUUAAUUAUACACCAACUCAAGAUAUAUACGCCAAUUCCAGACUCGUUUCUCCACUGACGAGAAUCGUUCUCUCCAGAUAUUGAAGUGUUAGAUAUACGUUCUGUAUUUUUAUUCACUAAUAUAUAUACCACGUUUCCGAUAUCAGAAAACUCUUAACUAAAAAUAUGUGUAUUAUAUUAAAAAUAAAUUUUUAGAGGAAAUUUUAACCGUUCUCGGUCAAUUUAACCCAGAGAUGAUGUAACCAUGGCCGCAAUCAAUGACAUAGGGUUACUCACUUUGUCAAAAAGGAAGUUGUAUUAAGUAUAUAUUCACGUUCAAAAGUUAUAUGAUUGUUGCGAAAAUAUUAAAACAAUAUAUUACUCUCUGUGUUACAUUCAAUUCUAUAUGUUUUUAUUUCACUGCUCAACGGUCGACACACCUCUUCAUAUUUUUAUAAAAUAUAAUUCUCUAACUUAUUUUUAAGAUUCUUUAAAAUAAAAUUUAACAUAUAAAUUUUUAUUUAGAAAACAAAAUUUUAUAAAUAAGUUACGAUAAAUAAGUGAUAGAACUUUAUUUUACAAAAUUAUAUUUUAGAAGAGUAUUAAUCCUCCCGAGUAUACUUCAGGCGAGAGGGAAUAUAUUUCUAAAGACUUCAUAAUUAUAGAACUAGUGACUAGUGACUUUAAUUUGUUUCUUCGUAUAGUUCAUAUCUUAAUUCUAUUUAUUUUUUAAAAUGUACAUCCAUUUUUAUGUUCUAGCUCUCUUAAUAUUUUAUUUCAAAAAAAAAAGCUCUCUUAAUAUUUGAUUUUAAUAAAAUACAUUUGAAUAAAUUUAUAUAUAUAUAUAUAUAUAUAUAUAUUAAAAAGUAAUUCAAUUUUUUGAGUCAAAUUUUAAUUAUAUAGAAUUUAUAUCUUUUCAUUAAUUAUUUCUGUAUUCAUAUUAAAUAAAAUAAAGUUUUCUAUAUUUUUAUUUAAUUAAUUUUUAGUUUAUUGAUCCAGUAAGUUAUUGACAUCAUAGGGAAUUUGAAUUACGAAUACGGCCAACUGAUCCUAGCUAUGCUAACAUUGCAAGUUCGCUUCUCAUAGCUGUUAACGAAAUGAAUAUUUAAUGAAAUAUUCGGAAUUCGAAUUCGUUUAGUAUUAUUCGUAUUCGUUUAUUAACAAAUACAAAUACGAAUUCAAAUCUUAAAAAAUAUUCGAUUCAUUAACAAAUACAAAUUCGAAUAGAUAAAUAUUCAUAUUCGCUAUUCGCUUAAUUAUUCGGAAAUUAAAUAUUAUAUAUGUAUAUAUUAUUUUAUAUUAUAUAGAAAAAUAGGAAGAGAGACGGAUUAUGGAUUAUUUUGGGACUAGAUAUUAAAUUAAACCAGCCCAGUCCAUAUACUAAAAGGUUGAGCGCAGUAAAACACAACCCUAAUUCUCUAAUUGUUUCUCUCGUCAAGUCGCCUCCCGACUCAUCUCACUCUGUUCUCUCUAAUUGUUUAUAACUUUUUUCGGGACAACACUUCAAUUAUUUAGUUCUGUUUUUUUUUAAAUGAGUACCUUAAACGAAUACGAAUAGUUCGUGAAUCUAACCAAAUCCGAAUACGAAAACAAAUAAUUAUUCGGAUAAUAAACGAAUACAAAUCCAAAUAUAUGUAUUUAAACCGAAUACAAAUAUGAAAAUUAAGAUAUUCGUUUCGAAUUCGUUUCAUUAACAGCCCUAUGAGAGUACAAUUUUGUCCAUCCAUCAGUUGCCAGAAAAGGCCAUGUCCGUCAAAAAACUCUAUCACCAGUAGCGUUGGCAAUUUCAGGUUUCGGGUCGGGUUGACAGUUGCGGGUCAAAAUAUUUACCCAACUCGAACUCGACCCGAAAUUUUAAUGUAUCAGAAUAUCCAACCCGAUCCGUACUACCCGCGGGUAACCCGAAAUCGACUCGAAAAUUAAUAUUUAUUAAUAAAAACAUUUUUUAAAUAAUAAAUAAAUAUUUUUUUAAUCCAAAUGAAUUAAUUUUUAUAAAAUUAAAUAAUUUUAUAUUAAAUUUAACUAAUAAAUAUUACAAAAAUAACAUAAAUAUAUAUAAUAUUUAUAUUAUAUAUUAAUUUUCGGGUAUUUUCGGGUCAAUUUCCGGUAACCCGAAUUCAACCCGAAAAUGACCCGUUUUUUCUGGGUUGAUUUUGAGUCAACCCGAAUUCGACCCGAACCCGAAAAACUCUAACCCAAAUUCGUAUUUUGCGGGUCGAAUUCGUGUCGGGUUGUCAGGUCGGGUCCAAUAUUGCCACCUCUAAUCACGAGGUAAAUGCCGGUGGGGUACAUGCAUCUGGUUUAUUAUAUUUUUUAUCUAUUAAUAAUAAUAAAUUCAUUUUUAUAAUAAUUAAAUUAAAUAUAGAUAAAUUAAUAACCAAUAUUUUAGUGAUGUAUAAUAAUAUAUUAAUAUUUAAAUUUGUUAUGAUUCCAACACAUAAUAACUUUAUAUAUUUUAUCUCAGCAAAUUUAUAGAUUCCUUAUAACACUAUUAUUUAAUAUUUAAAGCUGCCGGCUCUUGUACAGGUAACAAGAUAUACAUAAUGUGUUCCUACUGAUUUUAUAACAAUUCAACGAUUGGGUAAGUUCUCCUGCAGUUGGUAGGACUAUUUAUAUUAAAGACCGCUUUGCCUGCUAAAUACGUGUAAAUCUAUCACUCCAGAAGAUUGAUUUGGCAAACACUUCCCGUUUCAAAACACGUACCCUGACGAGGAGAUUUUUUUUUGACAAACAAAGUGAUUUUAUUAACAUGCUUCAACUAAAAUUACAGACUUAACUCCUAUCAAAAAUUCGAUUUGAAAAAAAUAAACAAAAACACAAAUCACAAUCAAGACAAAAUCUCCAAAGACUGACACUAGAACUUAAAUUGAAACAUAAUUAACAAAAAAAAUAUAAUAAACCUGUGACUGUUGAUAACAUAAGUUUAAAACUGUGAGAGCUUGAUUAAAAAAUAAAAUAAUACUCCCUCAUUUCCUCUCAAUUCUUUACAUUGAAUUUGAGCAUGGAAGUUAAGAAAUAUGUAUAAAAUAAUGGGAAAAAGAAAAAAAAAUAGGUGAAGUGGUGAGAUUUUUAAUAUAUAAAAAGGAGAUAAUGGAGUAAAAAUAGUGUGAAAAGAAGAAAAAGUGGGAAAGUAGUGAGACCCAUUAGAUAAUUUAGGAAAAUUUUGUAAUGUAAAAAAAUUAGUAAGACGUAAAAAAAGAAAAAUGUGAAAAAUUUAAAGGGAGAAAGGGAGUAGCAGUUAUCAGAGCGUACGCGUGUACAAAAUCAGGCCAUCUUGCUUAAGUAGUUGUCUGAUAUAUUCUGUUGGUCUCAUAUAUUCAGUUGGUUGACUUUAGUUGUGAAUCUGUGAGUUCUUAUCGUCUGUGGCCACUGGCCACUGGACUAGGUGAAGAGCAUGCCUAAACAGUUUCAUAAUAUAAUAUUUUAAAAUUUGAAGAGUUUUUAAUUUUUCAAACAAAUAAUAUUUAUGUAUAUGUAAUAAUUUACUUUUAUUAUAUAUUAGCUUAAAACUUUUAAUAUAUAUUUUUCUCUUAAUUUUUGUUAUAAGUCAAGUAAUAUCUCUAUUUUUUUCCGCAGAUAUUAGCAUUAUCUGCAAAUUGAUACUAUAUUUUUGUAUCAUAAUUUUAGUUUAAAUUUAAUUUUUAUAUAUUAAAUUAUUUUCUGAACAUUUUGGGUCAAUUUACCAAAUAAAUAUUCUUAAUAGAUAAUUAAUAUAUAAUUUUUAUUUUUUAUCACAAAUUAUAUAUUAUUAUUUGUUUCUCUAUAUUAUAUAUUUGAUAAAUUUAAAACUAAUAAUUUUAUACUGAAAAAUUAAAUAAUUUAGUUUUACGUUACGGUCUCCCAGAUUAUUGAGUUCCUCUGCCCGGGACCUCGUAUUGUCGUAAUCUGUCGCAGCUGCUUUAAGUCUCCAUUGGUGUUGAUUCCAUCUCUCGAUCCUCUAUAUGUUGUUUUAACUCCAUGUCUCCGUUCUCAGCAUUUUAUCGCUAAUCUGCUUUGAUAAAGCACAAUCCUUGAUUUACCAGAUAUUUCGAACAGUUCUGAGCCUUUUCUUCUUUUAGCAUAUGGGUAAAUAUGAUCAGCUCGGUCUCUUUCUUCUUUUAGCACAAGGAGCGCAGCUAAGUAAUUUAAGUAUUGAGAUUAUUACUUUGAAGUGUUCAGAUUUGACUAGACAAACAAAACGACCGCAGUCACCUGAGGUUUUUAUUUAUGCUUGAUACAGUAAGCAUAUUGCCAUACAAAGAGUAGACAAAGCAACAAUUACAAAUAAAACUAAACAAUAAUUGAAAAAUGGCUCAACAGCCAUAACACACUAUUCGACGAAUCCAGAAUGUUCAUCUGCUUAAAAUCGUGCCUGCAAUUGUUUGACUGUGUUUUUGUUUAGCUGGAAUGCCUUGGCAAGAAUGUCAGCCGAUAUAUCAGGAUUGGCUCCGAAUACAGCAUUUGCAAUGGUGAUAACCCCGGGGUUCUGGCUGCUAAGAGCCGCAAUCACUACUGCAUUAUCAUGUCCAAUGUUUUGCUGAUAAUGUAUAAGACCUUCUGGGAACACAAACACAUCUCCUUCAUUCAGGACUUUGGUGAUGUGACGAUUUUCUGUAUUUGAGGUCACAAAUCCCACCCGCAGUGUACCUUUUAUGACGGUCAGAAUUUCAGUAGCACGAGGAUGGGUGUGUGGAGCAUUGAUUCCCCAUGGUGCAAAGUCGAUACGAACAAGAGAAAUGCCGAGAGUGUUGAGUCCAGGAAUUCUGGC
This 5647-nucleotide long non-coding RNA is filed under the name Daucus carota (carrot). RNAcentral's name for it is "long non-coding RNA (DCAR_LNC001523)". The record is from RNAcentral. Lineage: Eukaryota; Viridiplantae; Streptophyta; Magnoliopsida; Apiales; Apiaceae.